GAUGAACGCUGGCGGCAUGCCUAACACAUGCAAGUCGAUCGGUAAGGCUCUUCGGAGUACACGAGAGGCGGACGGCUGAGUAACGCGUAGGAACACACCCUGCAGUGAGGGAUAAGACACCGAAAGGUGUUCUAAUACCGCAUACGGUCUUCGGAUUAAAGCAUUUAUGCGCUGAAGGAGUGGCCUGCGUCAUAUUAGAUAGUUGGUGAGGUAAUGGCUCACCAAGUCGAUGAUGUGUAGCUGGUCUGAGAGGAUGAUCAGCCAGACUGGAACUGAGACACGGUCCAGACUCCUACGGGAGGCAGCAGUGAGGAAUAUGUCACAAUGAGCGAAAGCUUGAUGGAGCAAUGCCGCGUGCAGGAUGAAGGCCCUCGGGUUGUAAACUGCUUUUAUAAGAGAAGAUUAUGACGGUAACUUAUGAAUAAGGGACGGCUAACUACGU
RNAcentral lists this ribosomal RNA (442 nucleotides) under uncultured bacterium. RNAcentral describes it as "partial 16S ribosomal RNA". It matches the Rfam family "Bacterial small subunit ribosomal RNA", at positions 28 to 506 of the family's 1533-position model. The record is from RNAcentral.